UACCGGUGAUGUUGUACCAUUGAAUUUCUUCCUCUGAGACAGACGUGAGGAUAUCAAAUCGAGCUUUUUAAUUCUGAGGGCU
Molecule: small nucleolar RNA, 82 nt
Filed under: Fonticula alba
Lineage: Eukaryota; Rotosphaerida; Fonticulaceae
Source: RNAcentral